Molecule: ribosomal RNA, 497 nt
Filed under: uncultured bacterium
Lineage: Bacteria
Description: partial 16S ribosomal RNA
Rfam family: Bacterial small subunit ribosomal RNA
Source: RNAcentral
GAUGAACGCUGGCGGCGUGCCUAAUACAUGCAAGUCGAGCGAACAGAUAAGGAGCUUGCUCCUUUGACGUUAGCGGCGGACGGGUGAGUAACACGUGGGUAACCUACCUAUAAGACUGGGAUAACUUCGGGAAACCGGAGCUAAUACCGGAUAACAUUUGGAACCGCAUGGUUCUAAAGUGAAAGAUGGUUUUGCUAUCACUUAUAGAUGGACCCGCGCCGUAUUAGCUAGUUGGUAAGGUAACGGCUUGCCAAGGCGACGAUACGUAGCCGACCUGAGAGGGUGUUCGGCCACACUGGAACUGAGACACGGUCCAGACUCCUACGGGAGGCAGCAGUAGGGAAUCUUCCGCAAUGGGCGAAAGCCUGACGGAGCAACGCCGCGUGAGUGAUGAAGGGUUUCGGCUCGUAAAACUCUGUUAUUAGGGAAGAACAAACGUGUAAGUAACUGUGCACGUCUUGACGGUACCUAAUCAGAAAGCCACGGCUAACUACGUG